Molecule: ribosomal RNA, 538 nt
Filed under: uncultured bacterium
Lineage: Bacteria
Description: bacterial SSU rRNA
Rfam family: Bacterial small subunit ribosomal RNA
Source: RNAcentral
AGUCAAUAGAUACCCGGGUAGUCCACGCCGUAAACGAUGAAUACUAGGUGUAGGGGUUGUCAUGACCUCUGUGCCGCCGCUAAACGCAUUAAGUAUUCCGCCUGGGGAGUACGGUCGCAAGAUUAAAACUCAAAGGAAUUGACGGGGGCCCGCACAAGCAGCGGAGCAUGUGGUUUAAUUCGAAGCAACGCGAAGAACCUUACCUAGACUUGACAUCUCCUGAAUUACUCUGUAAUGGAGGAAGCCCUUCGGGGCAGGAAGACAGGUGGUGCAUGGUUGUCGUCAGCUCGUGUCGUGAGAUGUUGGGUUAAGUCCCGCAACGAGCGCAACCCUUAUUGUUAGUUGCUACCAUUAAGCUGAGCACUCUAGCGAGACUGCCCGGGUUAACCGGGAGGAAGGUGGGGAUGACGUCAAAUCAUCAUGCCCCUUAUGUCUAGGGCUACACACGUGCUACAAUGGCUGGUACAGAGAGAUGCUAAACCGCGAGGUGGAGCCAAACUUUAAACCAGUCUCAGUUCGGAUUGUAGGCUGAAACUCG